This 472-nucleotide long non-coding RNA is filed under the name Bos taurus (domestic cattle). Its description in RNAcentral is "long non-coding RNA NONBTAT018446". Lineage: Eukaryota; Metazoa; Chordata; Mammalia; Artiodactyla; Bovidae. The record is from RNAcentral.
GAGAGCAUGAAGAGUAAAUAAUUUCAGUUACCCAACUGGCUACAAGCCACAGGGCCAAGAGAAGCAGCACUAUCUCUCUGAAAUCCCUCCUGUAGAAACCAAAACUUAAAGGCCUCGAUGACCCAGAGCCAUCAAGGCACUAAAAGGGAAGGCUGUCGGGACCUAUCUGUAUGGACCUUGCCCUGGGCUGCAUGCACUGUUUGUGUAAAAUUAAACUUUAAAGCCACGUGUCCAACCCAUGGUUGCCAGGCUGUUCUGGUCUGGAUAAGCCUUGGCUUGAGCCUGUAGGGAGCAGAAAACAAUCUCCUCUCAAGCAAUGAGUGGCUGUUCCACUGAGAGGAUUGAUUAAUAAGCAAAUCUUAAUAUCACAGGGAAAUGAUGGAGCAAGUAUACAACUCUGUAUGUUAAAAAUGUGUUGAAAGGCUUGUCACCUUGCAGAAAAGCCCCUUGAGAGAUCACUUGCUGACUGGGG